UGGAAUUUCCCCCUAUUUCCCACUGUCUUCCCCUAAUCAAUCACUUAGAAUCCUUAGACCCGCUAUUGACUCACUCUUCCAUGUCAUGAUUAAACGACUCACAAUUGUUUACAGCAAUCCUUGGUCAUAUUAAGAGAAGGGAGUUCAGAUGCAAUAUAUCUAGAAUCUCUUAGAGAAAAUAGAAGAAAAGGAAAAUAUUAUCCUCUGUCUGGGCUGGGUACAUCUGACAGAUUAUCAAGGCUGGUCCAAGUGUGGGGCGAUGUUAUUUUAUAAUAGACAAUACCUAAUAUAUUUGCACUAUUCAUGUAGCAUAGAAGGAGAGAAUAUUACAGUUUUCCAUAUAUAAUGAGAUUGAUUUUUUAAUGGGCUUCAAAAAGACAUAAUAACUGUACACGAAUUGUAACAUAGAAUUUCCUUUCAGUAAAGAUUUUCAGAUACGUGGAUGCUUUUAAAUGAGAUGAAGUUAUUAUUCAAAUAUAUGCAUCUAGACCUUCAAGGGAAAAAAAAGAAAGAUGGCAUACUGCUCAAUAUCUGGGAUACUUGAGGAGCAGUUAGAGUUAGAGCCAGGGAGUUGGUCUGAAUGAUCUCGAGGUCUUUUUGAAUAGAAUUCUAUAUUUAGAAUUCUGUUGUGUUUAUUUUCUUCACAGACCCAGUGAACCUGGCAAGCCUAUUGUAAUUAGAAAUUACAAUUUAGAGCUGGAGCAAAAUGGAAUGGUUAAAUGUAGACACACCUAGGCAGCAGGCAGCCCUUCUGGCAGUCUGUUCUAUUGUGUUUUCUUCAGGAUUUCUAAUCCAAUUGCAUAUUUAAGAAACUUAAACAUUUUUAAAACCGAAAGAACUCAAGAGAGAAAUGUUUUUCUUUUAUGGGGCCUUGGUAUCUCCAAAAGAAAAGCAAAACCCUCCUGCCAAAGGAAAAUGUUUUUGUCGUAUUUUAGAUUUAUCGUUACACACGGGUGGGAGGGAUGGAAGAAACCCAACAUGUUUCUUGCUGUCAUAUUUCCUUUUUUAUACCUUUGUUUUAAAUGCUGUCAUUGAGUUCAGGGGCCAGGAGAGGGAGACGUUAAUAUGGAGAUCACAGCAUGGAUAUUUUUUGAGAGGUUUCUUUUGUUCUUAGUUCAGUUUCCACCAGAUUAGACUGGGAGUAUUGCUGAGGAGGCCACAGGACUGAGGGUUGUAAAAGUCAAGAAUCUUUGUUUUCAGUGAUAAUCUUAUAACAAAUGGGAGCCAGGUGUGCAAUAUUUGAGUUGGCUGCCGUUCAGGGUUUUUAUUUAUUUUUCUUUAGGUAUGCAACAACUAGGCAGGCUAAAAUGAAAAUGCAAUCUCAUAAUGCCUACUUUGGGUGGUGUUUAAAAUUAUUGAGUAAUUACAACAAAUUUUAAGGAAAAUAUGAAUAAAAACACAAGCCUUUGGGAUAAUGCAUAAACUUUGGAAUCCUCCCAAAUAUAAUAAGUCUUUCAUCCUCAACUGCUCAGAUCACAGGAGGCCACCCAUCUGGUUCAAACUCCUUCAGACAUACACUGUUAUAGGUCACUGACAGUAUUCAUGGAUUAUGGAGUCAAAGGGGUGGAAUAGACCUAGAAAUGAUCUAAUGAAGCUCUUCUUUUGACUACUCUGAAUGUCUGGCCCAGCUCAGGGGUGAAACGGAAAUUAGUGACCAGUUCUUCCACUUAAAAGCUCUGUUUGUAUUUUUGUCCUUAAUACUUUUGCUUUCAUUUCACAAUAGGACUAUCAGCAAAUUAGGGAGAAAAAUAGUUUUUAAAUGAUUACAGUUGAAUCCAUACACACCGUAACAUCCAACACUUUCCAUUUCUCAAAAUAUCAACAACUGAUGGAGCACUUCUGUGCCAGCCAUCUAUUUCCCCCAUCUUUUGAUUCCUGCAGCCUGAUUUCCCUUAAAUAAAAUUCCCACUCAUGUACUUAACAUUGGGCUGACUACAUUUACAAUUCUAUUGGAGUCAGAUCAGUCCAAUGAGAACGUCAUAUCGCCUGGGCCACCGUGAUUAGGUCUUGUCACUGGUCCCUGAAACAAAUAGGUCUGAGUUACCUGCAGGACUUUUACAAAUACACCCUUUAUACAGAUACCCUCUGGGUGCUGUGGCUAUUAGCAGUCCAGAGUAGAGAUGCAUUGUUGCUGGAAAGUGUCACAUGAGUAAAAGGGAAAGCAUCUGAAAAUGUAAGAUAUUCAGUGAAAAGUAAAGAUCAUAAAAGUACAAGGUAGGUUUCCAGAGGUGCCAAAUUAUGUAAGAGUUCAAAGAUGUAUUAGUGUUGUGUACAUUCUACUUCAUUACAUAUUUUUAUGGGUUCUUGUAGUAAUCAAAUUCUGUGUUCUUUCAUAUUAGGCUAACACCCCCAAACCAUUAUUUUUUUUAAAAAAAAUUAGGCAGUAAAUAAAGCUAUCAAAGCAUUUGGAUUGAUUUUUUUUCUUUUAUCCUCAUUUAAUUCUAAAAUAUUACCUUAUUUUAAAGGUGUUACUCUGAACAAAAUUAUUCUAAGAUACCACAAAAGGGGGUAUUCGAAAACUAAAAUAAUUACAGGAGAAAAGGAAAUAAUGUGUGGAUAUUUUUCACAUUCCAACUCUGUGUUAUGCUUAGAGAUGAUUACUAUGAGUAGGAAUCCAAUAGGGAGUUAAUCUGGUCUUAUUUCAAUUGUGUGUAUUCAUUGGAACAUAAAGCAUUCUUAUAUUUAUGGAGAAAAAUGUUGAGUUGUAUAUAAAAGUAGUCAGACCUAUUCAAGUACAUUUUUUGUCCUCUUUUUAGCAAAUAUCCUUUCUUUAUAUGCUUGAACUAUGUUCCCUUUUUGUUUUCCUGUUAUUGACACAGUAUGGUCUAAGCCCAUAAAGGAGAUAAUUUAAGGGCAACUUCAUACCUGAAAAGUUGAAAUCAUUGGUUUCCCCUUACAGAAGACUCCCUGGGGAAGAUAAUACAGGGAAUCAUGGGCAAUUUACAACUAGUUGUGAUAUGUAUCUGUCUGAUAUGAAAAAAUCAAUGGUUUCCUCCUUAAAAAAAAAAAAAAAAAAA
This 3017-nucleotide long non-coding RNA is filed under the name Canis lupus familiaris (dog). RNAcentral describes it as "lncRNA (ENSCAFG00845015690.1)". The record is from RNAcentral. Lineage: Eukaryota; Metazoa; Chordata; Mammalia; Carnivora; Canidae.